RNAcentral lists this long non-coding RNA (563 nucleotides) under Pongo abelii (Sumatran orangutan). RNAcentral describes it as "lincRNA". Lineage: Eukaryota; Metazoa; Chordata; Mammalia; Primates; Hominidae. The record is from RNAcentral.
AGUCAGGGAACAUCUGUCCCUUCUUCGUGAAUAUCUGUGUUCAAGUCUCUUGCUCAUUUGUUAAAUUGGGCUUUUCAUCUUAAUUUUCAUUUGCAGUUUUCUCCCCUAUAUCUGAGGUCUGAGUCCUUUGUGAGAACACACAGUGUGGUUUCUUGCCUGGCAUCCCAUUCCUUGCUUGUCCAUUUUCAAGAGCAGAACAUUUUCACUUUGAUGGAAGCCCAAUGUUUCUUCUAUGACACAGGUGGUGGCCAGACCUGGCACACGGAUGCAGCUGACCCUGGAAGCUGAAGGACAAUGAAACCCAUCUGAUUAAGAUGCUCAACUUUUCUGAAGAAAAAGCUGACACCAAGACCUGCCUAAGGUCACACCAUCAUGAGUGGCUGAGUUGGGCUGUGAUGAGCCACCUGGCUGGAGAGCUCGUGCCCUGGUUACACGACUGCCAGUGAGAUGCCUAUGGACUCAUGCAUGUAGAGGUGUGUACCCAGACAGCUCAGAGUGAGAUGCCUGCAGGCCCAGCAUGCAGAGGUGUGUACUCAGUGCUGUGUGAGAUGCCUGUGGGCCCA